GAUGAAGAACGCAGCGAAAUGCGAUAAGUAAUGUGAAUUGCAGAAUUCAGUGAAUCAUCGAAUCUUUGAACGCACAUUGCGCCCGCCAGCAUUCUGGCGGGCAUGCCUGUUCGAGCGUCAUUUCAACCCUCAAGCUCUGCUUGGUGUAGGGGCCCUACGGUUGACGUAGGCCCUUAAAGGUAGUGGCGGACCCUCUCGGAGCCUCCUUUGCGUAGUAACUAACGUCUCGCAUUGGGAUUCGGAGGGACUCUUGCCGUAAAACCCCCAAAUUUUCUAAUGGUUGACCUCGGAUCAGGUAGGAAUACCCGCUGAACUUAAGCAUAUCAAUAAGCGGAGGA
RNAcentral lists this unclassified non-coding RNA (338 nucleotides) under soil metagenome. RNAcentral's name for it is "partial contains 5.8S ribosomal RNA, internal transcribed spacer 2, and large subunit ribosomal RNA". The stretch from base 1 to 120 matches the Rfam family "5.8S ribosomal RNA", at positions 35 to 154 of the family's 154-position model. The record is from RNAcentral.